Molecule: transfer RNA, 77 nt
Filed under: Actinomycetes bacterium
Lineage: Bacteria; Bacillati; Actinomycetota; Actinomycetes
Description: Actinobacteria bacterium tRNA-Ile
Rfam family: tRNA
About the family: Transfer RNA (tRNA) molecules are approximately 80 nucleotides in length.
Source: RNAcentral
GGGGCUAUAGCUCAGCCGGUUAGAGCGCAUCCCUGAUAAGGAUGAGGUCGCUGGUUCGAUUCCAGCUAGCCCCACCC